RNAcentral lists this ribosomal RNA (493 nucleotides) under uncultured bacterium. Its description in RNAcentral is "partial 16S ribosomal RNA". It matches the Rfam family "Bacterial small subunit ribosomal RNA", at positions 30 to 523 of the family's 1533-position model. The record is from RNAcentral.
AUUGAACGCUGGCGGAAUGCUUUACACAUGCAAGUCGAACGGUAACAGGUUAAGCUGACGAGUGGCGAACGGGUGAGUAAUACAUCGGAACGUGCCCAGUCGUGGGGGAUAACGUAGAGAAAUUUACGCUAAUACCGCAUACGAUCUAAGGAUGAAAGCGGGGGACCGUAAGGCCUCGCGCGAUUGGAGCGGCCGAUGUCAGAUUAGGUGGUUGGUGGGGUAAAGGCCUACCAAGCCGACGAUCUGUAGCUGGUCUGAGAGGACGACCAGCCACAAUGGGACUGAGACACGGCACAGAAUCCUACGGGAGGCAGCAGUGGGGAAUUUUGGACAAUGGGCGCAAGCCUGAUCCAGCCAUUCCGCGUGCAGGAUGAAGGUCCUCGGGUUGUAAACUGCUUUUGUACAGAACGAAAAGGUCUGGGUUAAUACCCUGGGCUCAUGACGGUACUGUAAGAAUAAGCACCGGCUAACUACGUGCCAGCCGCCGCUGUAA